This 406-nucleotide ribosomal RNA is filed under the name uncultured bacterium. RNAcentral's name for it is "partial 16S ribosomal RNA". It matches the Rfam family "Bacterial small subunit ribosomal RNA", at positions 30 to 526 of the family's 1533-position model. The record is from RNAcentral.
AUUGAACGCUGGCGGCAGGCUUAACACAUGCAAGUCGAGCGAGCGGCGGACGGGUGAGUAAUGUCUGGGAAACUGCCUGAUGGAUGGGGAUAACUCCUGGAAACGGUAGCUAAUACCGCAUACCAUCAGAUGUGCCCAGAUGGGAUUAUCUAGUGGGUGGGGUAAAGGCUCACCUAGGCGACGAUCCCCAGCUGGUCGGAGAGGAGGACCAGCCACACUGGAACUGAGACACGGGCCAGACUCCUACGGGAGGCAGCAGUGGGGAAUAUUGCACAAUGGGGGCAAGCCUGAUGCAGCCAUGCCGCGUGUGUGAAGAAGGCCUUCGGGUUGUAAAGCACUUUCAGCGAGGAGGCGUUACUCGCAGAAGAAGCACCGGCUAACUCCGUGCCAGCAGCCGCGGUAAUAC